Non-coding RNA from Cinara cedri, 758 nucleotides. Lineage: Eukaryota; Metazoa; Arthropoda; Insecta; Hemiptera; Aphididae. The record is from the annotation of a GenBank genome assembly.
AAUAGUAUAUAGUAAUACAUGGUCUUUUUUGGCGGUGGGGGGGGGGAAAGUCACCAAACCAAUAUUUUCGUGUUUUCUUUAGCAAUACAAAUUUUAGGAAACAAUAAUCCUCCCAUAGGGCCGUAGGGAAGAUGAAGAAUAAUAUUAAAUCUGUAUUUUUGAAUAGAUAUUAUGUGAUGGAUGAAAAUAAGGUUCAAAAAUCUGCAUAAUUGUAGCUUAAUAUAUAUCUCUGAUCGGUAAUCGAAAAUGCAGAUAAAAUUGUAUGCAGACGUUUUGCUUCGAAAAUUGUUUAUGCGAUUUGUCUGUAGAAAAUGUUUUCGAUUAACACCAAAAGUAUCAUGCCAUAUUUCGAGGGGAACCAGCGAGGUGUACAGUCCCCGGGUGUACCCCCUUUGAUACUGUACAUAAAAAUUGUUUACUUAAUCUUGAAUUUGAUGUGGGGAAGCAAAUUGGCGAUUUUGUGAUAGUAUAAAAGUCUCUGGACCUCUUCCCUAUCGAACAAACUGUGAUUGCGCCACUGAUAUAUUCGUGCAUAAUUUUUUUUUUCACAAGUGCUUAACAUUUGUAUUCUUUACACACUAGGUCCCCAUAUAUAUAUAGUAACUAUAGUUACUAUAGUAACUCGAGUUCAGUACAGUACAAAUAGUUUUUCGCGUUUAAAGAUUUAUCAUUGUUAGCGAAUAAUAAUUAAUAUAAUAUAAUAAAUAACAAUAUAUAAUAUGCAACACACAGAGUCGAACAAAGAGAAACAAGUGUCU